Molecule: ribosomal RNA, 477 nt
Filed under: uncultured bacterium
Lineage: Bacteria
Description: SSU rRNA
Rfam family: Bacterial small subunit ribosomal RNA
Source: RNAcentral
AGGACGAACGCUGGCGGCGUGCUUAACACAUGCAAGUCGAGCGGUAAGGCCCUUUCGGGGGUACACGAGCGGCGAACGGGUGAGUAACACGUGAGCAACCUGCCCUUCACUUCGGGAUAAGCCUCGGAAACGGGGUCUAAUACCGGAUAUCACUGCCCGUCUCAUGGUGGGUGGUUGAAAGUUCUGGCGGUGGGGGAUGGGCUCGCGGCCUAUCAGCUUGUUGGUGGGGUAAUGGCCUACCAAGGCGUCGACGGGUAGCCGGCCUGAGAGGGCGACCGGCCACACUGGGACUGAGACACGGCCCAGACUCCUACGGGAGGCAGCAGUGGGGAAUAUUGCGCAAUGGACGAAAGUCUGACGCAGCAACGCCGCGUGAGGGAUGACGGCCUUCGGGUUGUAAACCUCUUUCAGCAGGGACGAAGCGAGAGUGACGGUACCUGCAGAAGAAGGACCGGCCAACUACGUGCCAGCAGCCGC